Molecule: ribosomal RNA, 180 nt
Filed under: uncultured Glomeromycotina
Lineage: Eukaryota; Fungi; Glomeromycota
Description: partial small subunit ribosomal RNA
Source: RNAcentral
GGCCUGGUGGGGUGGUCCGCCUCACGGUGUGUACUGUCCGACUGGGUCUUACCUCUUGGUGAGCCGGCGUGCCCUUUAUUGGUGUGCGUCGGGGAACCAGGACUUUUACCUUGAGAAAAUUAGAGUGUUCAAAGCAGGCUUAUGCCCGAAUACAUUAGCAUGGAAUAAUAAAAUAGGACG